GAUCAAGCGACUAAGUGCAUAUGGUGGAUGCCUUGGCGAUCACAGGCGAUGAAGGACGUAGUAGCCUGCGAAAAGCUACGGGGAGCUGGCAAACAAGCUUUGAUCCGUAGAUAUCCGAAUGGGGAAACCCACUCCCUCUGGGAGUAUCCCUGGCUGAAUACAUAGGCCAGUGGAAGCGAACCGGGUGAACUGAAACAUCUCAGUAGCUCGAGGAAAAGAAAUCAACCGAGAUUCCGAAAGUAGUGGCGAGCGAAAUCGGAAGAGCCUUUACGUUUUAGCAUGCAAGAUAAUCGAAGGGGAUGGAAAGCCCCGCCGUAGCAGGUGAUAGCCCUGUAGAUGAAAUCUUGUGUGUGGAACUAAGCGUAAGAGAAGUAGGGCGGGACACGUGAAAUCCUGUUUGAAGAUGGGGGGACCAUCCUCCAAGGCUAAAUACUCCUGACUGACCGAUAGUGAACCAGUACCGUGAGGGAAAGGCGAAAAGAACCCCGGAAGGGGAGUGAAAUAGAUCCUGAAACCGUAUGCAUACAAACAGUAGGAGCGGACUUGUUCCGUGACUGCGUACCUUUUGUAUAAUGGGUCAGCGACUUACAUUCAGUGGCAAGCUUAACCGAAUAGGGAAGGCGUAGCGAAAGCGAGUCCGAAUAGGGCGUUCAGUCGCUGGGUGUAGACCCGAAACCAGAUGAUCUAUCCAUGGCCAGGUUGAAGGCACGGUAACACGUGCUGGAGGACCGAACCCACUAAUGUUGAAAAAUUAGGGGAUGAGCUGUGGAUAGGGGUGAAAGGCUAAACAAAUCUGGAAAUAGCUGGUUCUCUCCGAAAACUAUUUAGGUAGUGCCUCGCAUAUUACUGCAGGGGGUAGAGCACUGUUAUAGCUAGGGGGUCAUGGCGACUUACCAAACUAUGGCAAACUCCGAAUACCUGCAAGUACAGUGCGGGAGACAGAGCACCGGGUGCUAACGUCCGGACUCAAGAGGGAAACAACCCAGACCGCCAGCUAAGGUCCCAAAUUAUCGCUAAGUGGGAAACGAAGUGGGAAGGCAUAGACAGUCAGGAGGUUGGCUUAGAAGCAGCCAUCCUUUAAAGAAAGCGUAAUAGCUCACUGAUCGAGUCGUCCUGCGCGGAAGAUGUAACGGGGCUAAGCGA
This 1143-nucleotide non-coding RNA is filed under the name Vigna radiata var. radiata (mung bean). RNAcentral's name for it is "Bacterial large subunit ribosomal RNA". It matches the Rfam family "Bacterial large subunit ribosomal RNA", at positions 1 to 1189 of the family's 2925-position model. Lineage: Eukaryota; Viridiplantae; Streptophyta; Magnoliopsida; Fabales; Fabaceae. The record is from Rfam by way of RNAcentral.